GUUGUCAUGGCGGCCUAAUCGUUACAAUUAAAACAGAGCACAUUUGACCUCGGAUUGGCUCGGCGUUUUUGAUCGCAGGUUGUCUGGCACGAUGAUUGGUUGGGAUGUCUUCGAAACGACCCGCCUACUUCGCUCAUUGGUCGACACCAUGCACACAACGUGGGGUGGUGGGGGCGAUCUUAUUUCAGAAGGGAAAAAAAUAAAAGCCGUUCGCGCUGAGUGCGCAUGUCAGCACGAACAGCGCGUUCGCCAUUUUGUUCUCGACGCAGAUAUUUUGGACCCACUGACGCCGUGCUCUGCGAUGUCGAGCUCACCAGGAAACUUGAGUUCAUGCAGCACCCCUGGAGCCUUGCUCAAGGGCCCAACAGUAGCAGCUUUGCAGUGCUGGGGCUUGAACCCCCGACCUUCUGAUCACUAACCAAAAUCGUAAUCGAGUGGAUGUCUGCUGCUGUAGCCUGUUCCCCUCAAUGUUUGGCAUUCUUGUGCAUUGCGAAAUGCUUUUCUGCUCAUUACAGAUGUAAAGAGUUAUUACAGUCACCUUCCUGUCAGCAAUCUGGUCUUAUUUUUGGCCUUCUUUGACCUCUAAAUGCAUUUCCUCUUUUUUCCCCCCAUUUUCAUGUACCGUUCUGCUGCAACAUUAGCUAUUUAGAUUAUGACAUGAAUGUGCAGUUAAACAGAUGUUCCUAAUUAAGUAAACAAAGUUACCCCUGUGGCUGAACCUGUCUGGUAUAUUUUAUAACAUCAGUCUGCCAAUUUUAACAUUAUACUGCGAUCUGGUUUAAAACAGCCUUUAUACCUUUACACCUAUACCUAUUAGUUAAGAUGCUAAGCUUAGAACUUAGUGAAAACAGUACGUCAGUGUUAUGAAAUGCUAUAAAUGGACAAACGGUUGCUCUGCUGUUCCU
Silurus meridionalis is the source of this 905-nucleotide long non-coding RNA. RefSeq lists it as uncharacterized. NCBI's taxonomy places the organism in Eukaryota, Metazoa, Chordata, Actinopteri, Siluriformes, Siluridae. The record is from RefSeq and is a predicted model, not a curated record. The transcript has 3 exons.